UACGUAGGGUCCGAGCGUUGUCCGGAAUUAUUGGGCGUAAAGGGCUCGUAGGCGGUCCGUCACGUCGGGAGUGAAAACUCAGGGCUCAACCCUGAGCGUGCUUCCGAUACGGGCGGACUAGAGGUAUGCAGGGGAGAACGGAAUUCCUGGUGUAGCGGUGGAAUGCGCAGAUAUCAGGAGGAACACCGGUGGCGAAGGCGGUUCUCUGGGCAUUACCUGACGCUGAGGAGCGAAAGCGUGGGGAGCAAACAGG
Molecule: ribosomal RNA, 253 nt
Filed under: uncultured bacterium
Lineage: Bacteria
Description: partial 16S ribosomal RNA
Rfam family: Bacterial small subunit ribosomal RNA
Source: RNAcentral